RNAcentral lists this unclassified non-coding RNA (394 nucleotides) under Spermacoce confusa. RNAcentral's name for it is "partial external transcribed spacer". The record is from RNAcentral. Lineage: Eukaryota; Viridiplantae; Streptophyta; Magnoliopsida; Gentianales; Rubiaceae.
GGUUGGAUCCCUGCCUCGUGCAGCGACGUCCUACCUUGCUAUCCUCUUCAUUGUUGGCACAAUUUACAUUGGCCGUCCGUCGGUUUCCUGUGUUUUGUACCUACAUGAUGGAAUUCGGUUGUCAAUCUCCAGUUGUUCGCUUUAGUCUGCCCGUUAACACGGUGCGGUCGCGAGUGAAACUCGAAACGGAAUUCGUGCCCCACGUACCGCACGAUUCGUGACGGUUUCUUGGUCCAUGAAUUUCUCGCUCGGGCGCUGGGAUGCAGAAGACGAUGAGGGCACGGAGUCACUGGCUCCUAUCUGUCCGCAAAAAGGGCUUUAUGUCCUAUUUCGAACGACUUCGGUUCCGUUCCGGUUGCGUGCCGUGCGGCCCGAUGUCCGUGAGGAAUGCUAC